Lontra canadensis (Northern American river otter) is the source of this 641-nucleotide long non-coding RNA. RefSeq lists it as uncharacterized. The transcript is spliced from 2 exons. The record is from RefSeq and is a predicted model, not a curated record. Lineage: Eukaryota; Metazoa; Chordata; Mammalia; Carnivora; Mustelidae.
CAGUGAUGGCGAGCUGGCUGCAUGCUGAUGGGGCACUUCAUCGGAGAAGCCUCUUGGGUAGUGCAAGAUGCCUGCCUGCUCAGGGCCAGCCUCUGGAAAUGUGGAGCUGCACUCCUGUCUGUGAUAAACUGUAUGCUCUCAAGAGUCGUAGAGGACAGGUAUUUUUUCCCAUGAACCCCUUAGUGCCCCAAGUGGGGCACAAGCUAGGGGACGUGAAGAGUUCUCCACCCCACUUCCAGUGCAGUGGCUCCCAGAUGUUCCCACAGAUGUGGCCCUGGCCACACAGCAACAGGCAGGCCUGGCAUCAGCUGGGCUUCAUCUCAGAAGUGGUUGGGGGCCAGGCUGGUCAGCCCUACCACCAAAGCUUGGAGUACUGGACUACUUGGAGUAGCUGCCAUCCACCCCUAGACGUCCCUACCCCAUGCCUCAGCAAAAACCCCUUGUAAAUUCCAGUACUGUUUAUUUGGGCCCAAGAUGUCAGGCACGGGGCAAUUUCAUACUACCCCAUUUCCACAGGAACCAAAGCAACGCUGUUGUUCCCAUAUGUGAUUUAGUAAGCUAAAUUCAAAAGUAGAAUUGGCAUCUCCAAAUAGUAAGGUAAAAAUGCUUCUGUAUCAAAGUUGUGAUUAAAAAAAUAUAAA